This 477-nucleotide ribosomal RNA is filed under the name uncultured bacterium. RNAcentral describes it as "bacterial SSU rRNA". It matches the Rfam family "Bacterial small subunit ribosomal RNA", at positions 28 to 507 of the family's 1533-position model. The record is from RNAcentral.
GAUGAACGCUGGCGGCGUGCCUAACACAUGCAAGUCGAACGAGACUGAAUCAACGAAGCUUCGGCAGAGUAGAAGAAAGUCGAGUGGCGGACGGGUGAGUAACACGUGGGUAACCUGCCUUAUAGAGGGGGAUAACAGAGAGAAAUCUCCGCUAAUACCGCAUAAGCACACACUGCCGCAUGGCAGAGGGUGAAAAGAUUUAUCGCUAUAAGAUGGACCCGCGUCUGAUUAGCCAGUUGGCAGGGUAAAAGCCUACCAAAGCAACGAUCAGUAGCCGACCUGAGAGGGUGACCGGCCACAUUGGGACUGAGACACGGCCCAAACUCCUACGGGAGGCAGCAGUGGGGGAUAUUGCACAAUGGAGGAAACUCUGAUGCAGCGACGCCGCGUGAGUGAAGAAGUAUUUCGGUAUGUAAAGCUCUAUCAGCAGGGAAGAAAAUGACAGUACCUGACUAAGAAGCCCCGGCUAACUACGUG